Molecule: transfer RNA, 72 nt
Filed under: Stegodyphus mimosarum
Lineage: Eukaryota; Metazoa; Arthropoda; Arachnida; Araneae; Eresidae
Rfam family: tRNA
About the family: Transfer RNA (tRNA) molecules are approximately 80 nucleotides in length. Their secondary structure includes four short double-helical elements and three loops (D, anti-codon, and T loops).
Source: Rfam by way of RNAcentral
GCGUUCGUGGUGUAACAGUUAGCACACUCGACGCGUAUUCCAGAAGUCCAGGUUCGAGUCCUUGCAAGGGCA